RNAcentral lists this unclassified non-coding RNA (252 nucleotides) under uncultured Bacteroidota bacterium. RNAcentral's name for it is "uncultured Bacteroidetes bacterium contains 16S-23S intergenic spacer region". It matches the Rfam family "Bacterial small subunit ribosomal RNA", at positions 524 to 776 of the family's 1533-position model. The record is from RNAcentral. Lineage: Bacteria; Pseudomonadati; Bacteroidota.
UACGGAGGGUGCAAGCGUUGUCCGGAUUUAUUGGGUUUAAAGGGUGCGUAGGCGGAAGUCUAAGUCGGAGGUGAAUUCUGCCGCUUAACGGUAGAAGGGCCCUCGAUACUGGAUUUCUUGGGGUCGGAAGAGGUUGGUGGAAUUCGUGGUGUAGCGGUGAAAUGCAUAGAUAUCACGAAGAACACCGGUGGCGAAGGCGGCCAACUGGUCCGAAACUGACGCUGAGGCACGAGAGCGUGGGGAGCGAACAGG